CCCAGAGGUAUUGAUUGGUGAGAAUUCCUGGUACUCUGCUGAGUACAAUUCUUUUGCACCAACCUGCGCAGAUGCGCAGGUUUUUUUU
Molecule: small RNA, 88 nt
Organism: Beauveria bassiana D1-5
Lineage: Eukaryota; Fungi; Ascomycota; Sordariomycetes; Hypocreales; Cordycipitaceae
Rfam family: OmrA-B family
Source: Rfam